UAAAUAAUGAUGUUUCAUGGUGCUAGGUUGCUGCCGUAAUGGAGCAAUCAGCUUAAAAGGGAAGUCCGGUGAAAAACCGGCGCGCCCCCGCCACUGUAACGAGGAGUGCGAUGUCAGACAUGCCACUGUUCCCUCACAAAAGGGAAUGGGAAGGUGACACAGCACGAUGAAUCGAAGCCAGGAGACCUGCCAUGAAGCCAUGCAUGAU
This 208-nucleotide non-coding RNA is filed under the name Brevibacillus panacihumi. The record is from RNAcentral. RNAcentral also lists the same sequence under 1 other name. Lineage: Bacteria; Bacillati; Bacillota; Bacilli; Caryophanales; Paenibacillaceae.